Molecule: transfer RNA, 72 nt
Organism: Apaloderma vittatum (bar-tailed trogon)
Lineage: Eukaryota; Metazoa; Chordata; Aves; Trogoniformes; Trogonidae
Rfam family: tRNA
About the family: Transfer RNA (tRNA) molecules are approximately 80 nucleotides in length. Their secondary structure includes four short double-helical elements and three loops (D, anti-codon, and T loops). Further hydrogen bonds mediate the characteristic L-shaped molecular structure. tRNAs have two regions of fundamental functional importance: the anti-codon, which is responsible for specific mRNA codon recognition, and the 3' end, to which the tRNAs corresponding amino acid is attached (by aminoacyl-tRNA synthetases). tRNAs cope with the degeneracy of the genetic code in two manners: having more than one tRNA (with a specific anti-codon) for a particular amino acid; and 'wobble' base-pairing, i.e. permitting non-standard base-pairing at the 3rd anti-codon position.
Source: Rfam
GGCUGGUUAGCUCAGUCAGUAGAGCGUAGCGCUAAGAACGCUAAGGUCGCAGGUUCAUUUCCCACUCGGUCC